UCAGUUUUUUUAUUUUAUUUCAUAAUCUUAUAUAGUAAUAAACAAAACCCAACCACUUCAUAGCAUUAAUUUUUGAGUUGGCGAGUCAUAGUGGAUAAUAAACUCCUGUCAAUCAAAAUGAGGAGGCGGUAAAAACUACAUUGCCCCCUCGGUUUGGUGUCAUGCGGCGGCAGGAUUUCAUCAUGAAGGCAUUGUGGGAGUUGCAGUGUGCGUGAUUUGGCCCGGACACUGCGGUGGCAGGAGGACCGCUGGGUGAAACAUCAGGGCGGAGCUUCGUCUGCCUGCCAGAUGGAUGCCUUGUGAACUUAAAGGCAAAGUAAUCAAGUUGAACAUAAAUCGCUUCACCCAGGCACAUAUCGGACGCCACCAUACGUCCAGGCGCGCAGUAGCCCUCCUCUGACCAGACAAACAUGGCGUGCUCGACCAGGCGGUAGAUAGAAAAGUAAACCUUCUCCAUUCUCCCGAGAGGUUUCUGUAAAUCUGUGAGGCAAGUGCAUUGAUCUGUUCGGGUAUUAUAUUUGUUUCUGUCGGGGUCAGAUAAGCUUGAUUAAGUGUGAGCUGUGGCGCGGUGCUGCUGCUGCUCUACACGCGUGCCCUAUUUCCCCUUUAAGAGCGCGAGCUCGGCGUGGAGGGCGGGGUCAAAAGCCCACGAGCGCAUUCCAGCAAAUCAAAGCCACCGACCUCCACAGCGAGGCGUUCGAUCGUCAAAGGGGCGGGGCUUGGUGUACAGGAGAGAAAGACGUGUGCGCGGUUUCCAAGGCAACAGCUCGUCUUGACCUCCGUGUCCCCGUUUUCGUCAGGGAAGGCUGGUUUCCAUGGAAACGAUCGUAUCUCUGCGCGCGCGGCUUGCUUCCCGUAAAGUGAUCGGGUCGGAAAGCGGCCCGUUCUUCCAGAAAUGUGUCGGAAAAUCCUAAAGAGGAGGAAAAAAAAAAGAUGGCGGUUCUCGAGAAACAAAUGUAUGAAAAAGCUUUCAUUAGCCUUCCCAUGUGCUGGGGUAUAGAUGUUGAGGUGCAGGGAACUGAAAGUCCGAUCUCUAUAUCCCAGGUUAUAAUUAAAUAUUUAUUAAUUUAAUUAUUUAAUUUUAUUAAUAUUUUAAUAUUUAUUUUGUUAUAUAUGUAUUUAAAAGGCACACUAGUUUUUGACAGCAGAAAUCCACACUAUCUGAAGGUUUUACAAAUUACUUUAAUUAAUUCUAUAUUUCUGUGAAAGUCUCAAAUCUGCUUUAUUUUUUUAUUAGGCUUCUUAUCAGGAGGUGAGUUUUGUUUGGCCCCGCCUCCUUACCUACCGCAUAGUGUCAUUUCCACAUCUGCUUGAAAUCCUCUUUCAAAUUUUAGCCUUCUGCAGAUGUGCAAAUGUUCUCAUGACCAUGAACUUUGGUCUGAUUUUUUUUCUCCCCAACUCAACAUCAAAAAAGUCUGUUCCUUUUAUUUGCUUUUGUUUUAUUACUCUCUCCAGCCCACAUGUUCGGAGCAGUCGCACUGACACAUUCAUUCAUUUUCUGUAAAAUAUCUUAAAUACUACAUGUCUCUGGGAUCUGUAAAUGGAUAUAAUCUAUUUAUUAGUCUGAAAGAGUAAAAUGGAUGUACUAUUACAGCAAAUGAAUCAACUGCGGGGUGAUGUGAAAAGUCAGGCCUGUUACCACGCCAGAGUGAAUUAUUUUCCAAUAACGAAACAUCUCAGAGUGUUUUAUUCCUCUAUUACCACAGCGAUUGGCCAAAGAUAAUAUAUUUUUAAUUGUUAAAGAAUGACACGUCACACUUUUAGAUAUUUUUAUUUGUGAAAUAAGUUAGUUCUUGUUAUCACGUAUGUUAUAGCAGCUUUAAACUGUUGCUCUCUGUUUUUUCUUUCUUGCUAAAAUAUGACAGUAAAAAAAAUGCAGCUUAUGUUACGGAGAAACUGGAAAGACUUGUGCUGGAAAACUUACAAGCUGCUUCAACUUGCUGACUCUUUAGAUAAAUGUGAAAGAAACAUCUACAUACAAAUUUCACAUAUCAACAAUUAUGCUUAACAAUGAACAUGUUUUUUAUUAGUUUAAUUAUGUUCAACAUACACAUGUCUUCCAUUAGUGACAGAGGGGCAUAUCUAGAAAAUAAAUCAACAUUUUCUUACAAAUCAGAUAAGCAAAUUCAACAGUGCUGUUUUUUUACGCAUCUCUAACAUGUUGGCUUUUGUGUAUAAUUCUGAUAAUUGAGGAAAAAUGGAAUAAAACGGAUGAUGUUCUGUA
Long non-coding RNA from Silurus meridionalis, 2224 nucleotides. RefSeq lists it as uncharacterized. The transcript is spliced from 2 exons. The record is from RefSeq and is a predicted model, not a curated record. NCBI's taxonomy places the organism in Eukaryota, Metazoa, Chordata, Actinopteri, Siluriformes, Siluridae.